CAAUUGCUGCAUGCUACUUCACAUUUGGAGCCUUCAGGUUAGAAUCUGCGUCCUUAUCAGGUGAGAGAAAUGAGCUGGGCCGGUGGAGACUGGAUGUGCAGUGCAUGCCAAUACAUGAAUUUUAGGAACCGGGAAGCAUGCCAACGCUGUGGGUACCCAAAGUAUCAAGGCCCUGAUCCAGCAGGGUGGACAAGGAUCUUGCCUGGAGACUGGUAUUGCACUGCCUUCAACUGUAGAGCUCACAACUACGCUAGCAGGCCAAGCUGCUACAAAUGUGGUGCAGUAAAAAACUAUUAUGCUAGUGGGUGUGAAGGUAGCAGUUAUGGAUCAGAAGGCACUUAUCCUCCAGGAUGGAAAACUGGCGAUUGGAUUUGCCCUAGAAUGGGAUGUGGAGAACAUAAUUAUGCUAGCAGGACUGAAUGUUUCAGAUGCAAGACACCAAGGGAUUUUGGAAGUACGGUUCAAUGAUUGCAAUCAGGUGGACAAAAAUAUAACAUGCAGUGGUAAUUUUCAGAUGAUGAAGCUGUCUCCUCUCUACACAAAUAACUCCUUUAAUUUCUAUUUAUUUUUACAGUCGAAGACCCUAUUCAAAAGCAUAUGUAGCUAGCUAUGCAUUUGCUCUGAUAAGAAGAGUUUCCGGCUUUUAUUAUAUGAUGCAUAUAUAGUGUAAUAAUGUCCCAGUAAAGAGUAGUUAAUUAAUU
RNAcentral lists this unclassified non-coding RNA (701 nucleotides) under Hevea brasiliensis (rubber tree). Lineage: Eukaryota; Viridiplantae; Streptophyta; Magnoliopsida; Malpighiales; Euphorbiaceae. The record is from RNAcentral.